UACGGGAGGCAGCAGUGGGGAAUAUUGCACAAUGGGGGAAACCCUGAUGCAGCCAUGCCGCGUGUGUGAAGAAGGCCUUCGGGUUGUAAAGCACUUUCAGUCGUGAGGAAGGUAGUGUAGUUAAUAGCUGCAUUAUUUGACGUUAGCGACAGAAGAAGCACCGGCUAACUCCGUGCCAGCAGCCGCGGUAAUACGGAGGGUGCGAGCGUUAAUCGGAAUUACUGGGCGUAAAGCGCAUGCAGGUGGUUUGUUAAGUCAGAUGUGAAAGCCCGGGGCUCAACCUCGGAAUAGCAUUUGAAACUGGCAGACUAGAGUACUGUAGAGGGGGUAGAAUUUCAGGUGUAGCGGUGAAAAUGCGUAGAGAUCUGAAGGAAUACCGGUGGCGAAGGCGGCCCCCUGGACAGAUACUGACACUCAGAUGCGAAAGCGUGGGGAGCAAACAGGAUUAGAUACCCUGGUAG
RNAcentral lists this ribosomal RNA (461 nucleotides) under uncultured bacterium. Its description in RNAcentral is "bacterial SSU rRNA". It matches the Rfam family "Bacterial small subunit ribosomal RNA", at positions 340 to 793 of the family's 1533-position model. The record is from RNAcentral.